Scophthalmus maximus (turbot) is the source of this 121-nucleotide ribosomal RNA. The record is from Ensembl. NCBI's taxonomy places the organism in Eukaryota, Metazoa, Chordata, Actinopteri, Pleuronectiformes, Scophthalmidae.
GCUUACGGCCACACCACCUGGUUCACGCCCGAUCUCGUUUGAUCUCGGAAGCUAAGAUAGGUCGGGGCCUGGUUAGUACUUGGAUGGGGAGACCGCCUGGGAAUACCAGGUGCUGUAAGCU